RNAcentral lists this ribosomal RNA (505 nucleotides) under uncultured organism. Its description in RNAcentral is "SSU rRNA". It matches the Rfam family "Bacterial small subunit ribosomal RNA", at positions 10 to 509 of the family's 1533-position model. The record is from RNAcentral.
AGUUUGAUCCUGGCUCAGGAUGAACGCUAGCGGCAGGCUUAACACAUGCAAGUCGAGGGGCAGCGCGUUGUAGCAAUACGAUGGCGGCGACCGGCGAAAGGGUGCGUAACGCGUGAGCAACCUGCCCGUAUCCGGGACAUAAGCGGUGGAAACGCCGUCUAAUUUCCCAUAACAACGAGGGCCGCAUGGUCCAUGUUUGAAAGAUGCGUCGGAUACGGAUGGGCUCGCGAGACAUUAGCUAGUCGGCGUGGUAACGGCACACCGAGGCGACGAUGUCUAGGGGUUCUGAGAGGAAGGUCCCCCACACUGGAACUGAGACACGGUCCAGACUCCUACGGGAGGCAGCAGUGAGGAAUAUUGGUCAAUGGGGGCAACCCUGAACCAGCCAAGUAGCGUGGAGGAUGACGGCCCUACGGGUUGUAAACUCCUUUUAUGCGGGGGUAAGGUGCGCCACGGGUGGUGUAUUGCAAGUACCGCAUGAAUAAGCAUCGGCUAACUCCGUGCC